CGCGUAGGCGGUUUGGCAAGUCUGACGUGAAAUGUACCGGUUCAACCGGGGCGCUGUGUCAGAAACUGCCAUACUCGAGGUCGAGGGAGGAGAGUGGAAUUCCUGGUGUAGCGGUGAAAUGCGUAGAUAUCAGGAAGAACACCAGUAGCGAAGGCGGCUCUCUGGACUGAAACUGACGCUGAGGCACGAAAGCGUGGGGAGCGAACA
Molecule: ribosomal RNA, 207 nt
Filed under: uncultured bacterium
Lineage: Bacteria
Description: partial 16S ribosomal RNA
Rfam family: Bacterial small subunit ribosomal RNA
Source: RNAcentral